GGAGGGGUGCCGGAGCUGGUCGAACGGGGCGGUCUCGAAAACCGUUGUCCCGUUUACUCGGGACCGGGGGGUCGAAUCCCUCCCCCUCCG
RNAcentral lists this transfer RNA (90 nucleotides) under bacterium. Its description in RNAcentral is "tRNA-Ser". It matches the Rfam family "tRNA". Rfam says of the family: Transfer RNA (tRNA) molecules are approximately 80 nucleotides in length. Their secondary structure includes four short double-helical elements and three loops (D, anti-codon, and T loops). Further hydrogen bonds mediate the characteristic L-shaped molecular structure. tRNAs have two regions of fundamental functional importance: the anti-codon, which is responsible for specific mRNA codon recognition, and the 3' end, to which the tRNAs corresponding amino acid is attached (by aminoacyl-tRNA synthetases). tRNAs cope with the degeneracy of the genetic code in two manners: having more than one tRNA (with a specific anti-codon) for a particular amino acid; and 'wobble' base-pairing, i.e. permitting non-standard base-pairing at the 3rd anti-codon position. The record is from RNAcentral.